UCAUCUUCGGGGGUAGAGCACUGUUUCGGCUAGGGGGUCAUCCCGACUUACCAACCCGAUGCAAACUACGAAUACCGAAGAAUGUUAUCACGGGAGACACACGGCGGGUGCUAACGUCCGUCGUGAAGAGGGAAACAACCCAGACCGCCAGCUAAGGUCCCAAAGUCAUGGUUAAGUGGGAAACGAUGUGGGAAGGCCCAGACAGCCAGGAUGUUGGCUUAGAAGCAGCCAUCAUUUAAAGAAAGCGUAAUAGCUCACUGGUCGAGUCGGCCUGCGCGGAAGAUGUAACGGGGCUAAACCAUGCACCGAAGCUGCGGCAGCGACACUAUGUGUUGUUGGGUAGGGGAGCGUUCUGUAAGCCGUUGAAGGUGGCCUGUGAGGGUUGCUGGAGGUAUCAGAAGUGCGAAUGCUGACAUAAGUAACGAUAAUGCGGGUGAAAAACCCGCACGCCGGAAGACCAAGGGUUCCUGUCCAACGUUAAUCGGGGCAGGGUGAGUCGACCCCUAAGGCGAGGCCGAAAGGCGUAGUCGAUGGGAAACAGGUUAAUAUUCCUGUACUUGGUGUUACUGCGAAGGGGGGACGGAGAAGGCUAUGUUGGCCGGGCGACGGUUGUCCCGGUUUAAGCAUGUAGGCGGAUGUUCCAGGUAAAUCCGGAACGUCAUUAACGCUGAGGUGUGAUGACGAGGCACUACGGUGCUGAAGUGACAAAUGCCCUGCUUCCAGGAAAAGCCUCUAAGCAUCAGGUAACAUCAAAUCGUACCCCAAACCGACACAGGUGGUCAGGUAGAGAAUACCAAGGCGCUUGAGAGAACUCGGGUGAAGGAACUAGGCAAAAUGGUGCCGUAACUUCGGGAGAAGGCACGCUGAUGGUAGGUGAAG
This 879-nucleotide ribosomal RNA is filed under the name Klebsiella oxytoca. RNAcentral's name for it is "partial 23S ribosomal RNA". It matches the Rfam family "Bacterial large subunit ribosomal RNA", at positions 890 to 1766 of the family's 2925-position model. Lineage: Bacteria; Pseudomonadati; Pseudomonadota; Gammaproteobacteria; Enterobacterales; Enterobacteriaceae. The record is from RNAcentral.